CUUUCUUUGCUGGCGACCGGUGCACGGGUGAGUAACACGUAUCCAACCUGCCCUUUACUCGGGGAUAGCCUUUCGAAAGAAAGAUUAAUACCCGAUAGUAUAAUGAUUCCGCAUGGUUUCAUUAUUAAAGGAUUCCGGUAAAGGAUGGGGAUGCGUUCCAUUAGGUUGUUGGUGAGGUAACGGCUCACCAAGCCUUCGAUGGAUAGGGGUUCUGAGAGGAAGGUCCCCCACAUUGGAACUGAGACACGGUCCAA
RNAcentral lists this ribosomal RNA (254 nucleotides) under uncultured bacterium. Its description in RNAcentral is "partial 16S ribosomal RNA". It matches the Rfam family "Bacterial small subunit ribosomal RNA", at positions 79 to 334 of the family's 1533-position model. The record is from RNAcentral.